Long non-coding RNA from Formica exsecta, 702 nucleotides. RefSeq lists it as uncharacterized. The transcript has 2 exons. Lineage: Eukaryota; Metazoa; Arthropoda; Insecta; Hymenoptera; Formicidae. The record is from RefSeq and is a predicted model, not a curated record.
AAAGUGACGUGUGACGAGCGCAAAACAUCCUCGCCUCUCCGCAGGUAUCACUUCCAAUCUCCCGUCGCGAUUUACGUGAUCGCAAUCGUGAUCGCGUGUAGGUGAGCGGCUUCAACCGGAGCGAAGCGGCUGUCCCGUUAGCGGACCUAGAAGGUCCGCGAAAGACCGAACGGGAGCCAAUCGUAUCGGCUCGUGCUCGAACAUAUCAGAACGGAUCCUCAUCCGACAAGAAUCGUCUGAUCGAGUCGAUCGACAGUCAGUCAGUCAGCUGGGACGAUCCUCUAGAUCUUCCACGCUGCUGCGUUCGAGCGGGAUCCUCUUCGCGCUCGCACGUCGAUCUCUUCUCGUUCUCCUCCUCCGCCUUCUCUUCCUCCUCCUCCACCAUUAACUCCCGUUCCUCCACUUUGUUUCUCUUUCUCUCUCUGUCUUUCUCGUCGCGGUUUUUUCCCCUUCCUCUUUUCCUCGCACGAUCUAUCUUUCUCAGCUUGCUCCUCGAACGUAGUAUUUCCUGGUGAUCCGUGAUGCGUACCACGAGACUCUCGCGCUGAUGCGCAUGGAAACAUUGCCAGCCCCUUCAGAGUGAAAAGUUGAUGAAGGAUCAAGACAUGGGCCGCACAGGAUACACGUGCAUCAGGCACGUUUUCUGCUCCCUCAACGUUUUAAUCUGGGUACGCUUUGUUUACGUUAUUUUCAUAAAAUAGA